GAUCGCGCGUGACGCAAAGCUACCAAGGCAGAGCCGGCGCCCUGGCAACAGCGGCUGAUGGAUCACGGGAGCGCGCCCCAGCCAGAGCGGCCAGCUGUUCAUAUCCAUUCUGUGCUGUCAGCAACAUUCAACUUGAUUUUCUCAACUGAAAUAGAAACAUUAAAUAGAGGAAGAAUGCUUCAGGAACAUCAAAGAAAAUGUGGAAUAUUGGACUGCUAUGGCCCACAUUUUACAAUGUAUGUUUACAAGAUCCUUGUUUUACGCCAAAUGCUGGUAAAAUGAGGGAGAUAAUUGGAGUAACAAUGACCUCAUCUCUACUGAAGGCAUCUGUCAUCAUAUCACUAAGGUGGAAUGGUACACAGUCGUGAGGAGCUACUGGACUCUCUAUUACACAGAUUGCAGUAGUGGAGAGGAAUGCCUUCUUCCACUUUGACUGAUAGGAGACUGUGCCAGUUCCUCUCUGAUGAGGAUCUAGCCUUUGUGAUCCACAUCUUUGCACCUUCAAGUUAGAUUAUUGCAACGCAUUCUACAUGGAGCAGGUUGGGAGGGCCACAUGGAAGCAUGACUGGCAAAUUACCUUUGACGCAAGAAAGACUGAAGAACGUCCAUUACAUCAGUACUCUCUAUGUGCCACUGGUUCCCAUUUGGUUCCAGAUCCAAUUCAAGAUUAGAGUCUUAGUUUUUAAUGGUCUGGGGUCUAGUUUCCCUCAGGAUUGACUCUGGAGAUGCUCCAGAAAAUGAAGCCAAAAACUGGCUUCCUUUCAGGAAGGGGACAACGCAAGAUUCAUCUUUUCACACAACCCUUCCUUCAACGAUGAUGGUAUGAAAAUGUUCUGGUGAUACACCUUGCUGGGGAAAAAAGAAGGAACAAAGAAACGGUGAAAAACACAAAGUAAUACUGUCACACUGAAUGAUGAAGCCUAGAUGCCCUUUGUGGGAAAAUAUUUUUUAAUUUAGUUUUGUACAUAGUGCCCAGAAACCUUGUGAUGGUCACAUUAAAAUUUUUUUAAAGAUUAGUAAAUUCUUCGAUUAAAAUUUUUUCCCCAUUUGAAUCCAGUAAUAGGACAACAAAUUUAUUUUUGGCAGAAGAAAAGCAGUUAAAAACCUUUGUAAAUGUCAACGAUCUGGCACUACCAUUUGCCUUACCUGAUGCAAGCUGAAUGCAGUGUGUCACUAUAAAUCUAGGGAAGGUAUUUAUAAAUUGCAAAAGCCUAGAAGUGAGUGUGAGAUAGAUUAGAUAGAUGGCACUCUAUUCUGUGAUAGACAAAUAGUUCUGCAGUCGGGGAAUAAUUCUGUGGAAACAUAGAGUAUAACAUGGUAGACAAUACUGAAGACUCAAAGAACAGAUAGAAUAAUACCAUCCGCUACUUCCAUCAUAACAAAAUCCUCCUUUGGAGUCUCAGGUGGAGACUCCUUUCUCUAAUACCAGAAGCAGCUACAGGGUUUUCACGCUGCUUGGGGGAGAUACAGGCAUUCUUUCUCCUGUGUUACGGCUGUAGAAAAAUAUGAAACCUUGGACACAUCUGUAUAAUGUUCUAAAGAACUGGUUCGUGUGUGUAUGUGUCACUGCAUUCUGUCUGAAUGAAUCAAAACUCCUCAACUGUAUGUCAUAGGCCCUGUACUGCUAAUACCGAAUGGUUGCUUAUGCCUUAGUUCAAGUCUCUGGGACCUGUGCCUUUAGAGCAGGAGGAUCUCAGUUUUACUCCUGCUGUUGCUGUGACAGCCCAAAGAAGGCCAACAUUUUCCUUUCUCUUAUGAAAUGGAAACCAUAGUGAUUGAAGCAUGCUGAGACAGAAUGCAUUUACCGGAGACAGUGGGUAGCAGUUGUUUUUCCCUGCACACGAGUUUGCUUGAACUACUUAAUUAGUCACAACGUUUUCUGUAACUGAGGGUAGAACAAACUGUUACAGAUUUCAGUAGCACUAGAAAGGUAGUAGGGAAAUUGUGGAUGAAACUGAGAAACAUUUAAUCUAUUUUGGAGGUUGUGAGCAAAUUCAAGAAACAAAGCCCUAGGCAAAAGCAGCAGGUAGCAACCCGGGUGAAAGGGUAGUUCAGAGAAAUGGCAAAAGAGAGACAAUUGAAUGUACAACCUCAGCCAUGUGAAGCUCUUCCAGCGGGGCUGUGCUCCUGCUCUUCAAACAGAAUUCAAUGCUCUCCUCUCAAGAUAGAUAUUCAUUCUGAAAUAUUGGCUCCUUCAUAUUGCAUCAUCUUCCAUGCCCAUGGAAGAUGAUGUUAGUCAAGUGCUCUGUAAAGCUUACACCACCAUCCUUACCAAGAAUCUGAAUCCUUGAGUCCUGUCUGCUCCUCCUCUUUUCUGUUCUGUAUUUAGUUGAAUUUGGUGCUGUCCCCCCUCCUAGUACAUUAAUAGAUUUUAAAGCCAGAAGGGACCAUUAAAUCAUCUACGUUGACCUCCUGCAUAACAUAGGCCAUAGAAUUUCAGCUAGUUACCCCUGCAUUGAGCCAAAAUAACCUGUAGAUGACUAAAACAUAUCUUCCAGGAAGGCGUUUGGUCUUGAUUUGAAGACAGCCAGAGAUGGAGAAUCCAGCACUUCCUUUGCCUCCUGACUGCUCUAGCCAGCCUGUCUCGAAGGAGAUUGGUUUCCUGUCUACUGAGGUGGAGGCCACCCAAACUGUACAACUCCCUUUUCCUCUAGAAGGUGGACCAAUGUUCCACAAAACCAAAACUCUGCAGCCUACACCAUUUACCUAGACAGCAGUUCACUUCCAAUAUCUUCUGCUUGUAGCUAGUUAGUAGAUAUCAGACUGGACAAGAAAGCUGAAGUAAGGGUAAGGCACUGUGAUCUCUUAGGAUAUGAAAGAAAAGGGGCAUAGUUGAGAUUGUGGCUGUUUUAUGUGGGAAGUGUCACUUUAAUUCUCCAUUUCCUGGUUUCCUCAAAUCAGCACAUCAGGAAUCUAUCUGUACAAUUUGUGAAUUAUGGUUGAUGCUGUGAAGUUGUUCUGAUGAAAUUGCUGUAUUUUUGAAUGCCUCUGCCUAUGUGGAAUCCACCCUUUCCGGACAAGGGCUGUGUCAUGUCCUUUACAGACCAGAUACAAAAGUGUAUUGUUAGAACUUAAAGGCUGCUUAUUCAGAUGGUAACACCUUGGGACAGUGGGUUAGAUAGAGCUUAGGAGAACUAGUCUUCUCUUAUCUUGUCUGCAGGAGGCUGGUGAAGAAGAAUGAAAACACCAGCAACAGAACUAAGGAACCAGAUCUUGGUAGGGGAAUAUAUAAACUCAAGAGACUCUUGGCGACACGGAUUGGAAAUUUUGCGCAGGAAAGGGGAAGAAAUGAUCAGGUUUUCAUAGCAGGGGUUCCUGUUUAACUUUGGCCCAGCCACAGUGAGGGAAAGCUAGCUGACCUAGGGAGAGGCUCCAUGUUUCUGAAAGUAGACAUGAGCUGCAGGGGAAGGAUUCUGCACAUCCCAGAGGGCUGUGCCCAAGCCUAAAGAACUUUCCAGAGUGGUGAGGAAACCGAGGCAAGGAAAUAUGUGUAGGCAUGUUUAUUAUUUUGUCUAGAUCUUUGUAUCUCUUGUGCUGUGAAGUAAAAUGCAGUGGUGUUUUAGAAUCCUAUGCAAAGGCUGUCUGUGUAUCUGUUUGCUUUCACUAUCGCCAUGUCCCUGAAGAGUUAACCUGUAAAGCCAAUGUGCUCACAAAGGUGGAGUUCUGGAAAGGGAUGUGCAUAAACUACGCAGGAGACUGAGGGGUCAGCACUAAUCCCAGGGAUUGGGCAGUUGAACCUUGGGGCAGGGCCGGAUUAACUUUUUGCGGGCCCAGUGCCAAACAUAUUUGUGGACCCUCAUGGGGAAAGGUGCAGGGGGGUGGGAUGGUCAGUCUCCAGGGUGAAGGGUGGGCUGGGGGCAAUGAGGGACAGCGCGGAGGGAGCAGCCUUGC
Chelonia mydas (Green sea turtle) is the source of this 3891-nucleotide long non-coding RNA. RefSeq lists it as uncharacterized. NCBI's taxonomy places the organism in Eukaryota, Metazoa, Chordata, Testudines, Cheloniidae. The transcript has 4 exons. The record is from RefSeq and is a predicted model, not a curated record.